CACCGCGGUUAUACGAGGGGCUCAAAUUGAUAUAAUACGGCGUAAAGUGUGAUUAGAGAUAAACCCCACUAAAGCUAAACACCCCCUAUGCUGUCAUACGCCAUGGGGUAUACGAAGCCCAACAACGAAAGUGGCUUUAUAAAUCUUGAACUCACGACAGCUAGGGUA
This 168-nucleotide ribosomal RNA is filed under the name Enchelycore bayeri (Bayer's moray). Its description in RNAcentral is "partial small subunit ribosomal RNA". The record is from RNAcentral. Lineage: Eukaryota; Metazoa; Chordata; Actinopteri; Anguilliformes; Muraenidae.